RNAcentral lists this non-coding RNA (31 nucleotides) under Rattus norvegicus (Norway rat). The record is from RNAcentral. Lineage: Eukaryota; Metazoa; Chordata; Mammalia; Rodentia; Muridae.
CCCAACGUUAAAUGAACAAUUAAGGUGUCUA